CCUACGGGAGGCAGCAGUGAGGAAUAUUGGUCAAUGGGCGCGAGCCUGAACCAGCCAAGUAGCGUGAAGGAUGACUGCCCUACGGGUUGUAAACUUCUUUUAUAAAGGAAUAAAGUGAGGCACGUGUGCCUUUUUGUAUGUACUUUAUGAAUAAGGAUCGGCUAACUCCGUGCCAGCAGCCGCGGUAAUACGGAGGAUCCGAGCGUUAUCCGGAUUUAUUGGGUUUAAAGGUAGCGUAGAUGGGUUGUUAAGUCAGUUGUGAAAGGUUGCGGCUCAACCGUAAAAUUGCAAUUGAAACUGGGGGGUGUGAGUAUGUUUGAGGCAGGCGGAAUGCGUGGUGUAGCGGUGAAAUGCUUAGAUAUCACGCAGAACCCCGAUUGCGAAGGCAGCCUGCCAAGCCAUGACUGACGCUGAUGCACGAAAGCGUGGGGAUCAAACAGGAUUAGAUACCCUGGUAGUC
Molecule: ribosomal RNA, 460 nt
Filed under: uncultured bacterium
Lineage: Bacteria
Description: partial 16S ribosomal RNA
Rfam family: Bacterial small subunit ribosomal RNA
Source: RNAcentral